CUACACGACCGUACCGCAAACCGACACUGGUGCGCGAGAUGAGUAUUCUAAGGCGCUUGAGAGAACUCAGGAGAAGGAACUCGGCAAAUUGACACCGUAACUUCGGAAGAAGGUGUGCCUUUAGUAGGUGAAGUCCCUCGCGGAUGGAGCCCAAUGAGGUUGCAAAAAAUCGGUGGCUGCGACUGUUUAUUAAAAACACAGCACUCUGCAAACACGAAAGUGGACGUAUAGGGCGUGACGCCUGCCCGGUGCUGGAAGAUUAAAUGAUGGGGUGCAAGCUCUUGAUUGAAGUCCCAGUAAACGGCGGCCGUAACGAUAACGGUCCUAAGGUAGCGAAAUUCCUUGUCGGGUAAGUUCCGACCUGCACGAAUGGCGUAACGAUGGCCACACUGUCUCCUCCUGAGACUCAGCGAAGUUGAAAUGUUUGUGAUGAUGCAAUCUCCCCGCGGAAAGACGGAAAGACCCCAUGAACCUUUACUGUAGCUUUGUAUUGGACUUUGAACAGAUCUGUGUAGGAUAGGUGGGAGGCUUUGAAGCAGGGUCGCUAGAUCUUGUGGAGCCAACGUUGAAAUACCACCCUGGUGUGUUUGAGGUUCUAACCUAGGCCCGUAAUCCGGGUUGGGGACAGUGCAUGGUAGGCAGUUUGACUGGGGCGGUCUCCUCCCAAAGUGUAACGGAGGAGUUCGAAGGUACGCUAGUUACGGUCGGACAUCGUGACGAUAGUGCAAUGGCAUAAGCGUGCUUAACUGCGAGACUGACAAGUCGAGCAGAUGCGAAAGCAGGACAUAGUGAUCCGGUGGUUCUGUAUGGAAGGGCCAUCGCUCAACGGAUAAAAGGUACUCUGGGGAUAACAGGCUGAUACCGCCCAAGAGUUCAUAUCGACGGCGGUGUUUGGCACCUCGAUGUCGGCUCAUCUCAUCCUGGGGCUGUAGCCGGUCCCAAGGGUAUGGCUGUUCGCCAUUUAAAGAGGUACGUGAGCUGGGUUUAAAACGUCGUGAGACAGUUUGGUCCCUAUCUUCCGUGGGCGCUGCAGAUUUGAGGAAGCCUGCUCCUAGUACGAGAGGACCGGAGUGGACGCACCUCUGGUGUAUCGGUUGUCACGCCAGUGGCAUUGCCGAGUAGCUAUGUGCGGAAGAGAUAACCGCUGAAAGCAUCUAAGCGGGAAACUCGUUUCAAGAUGAGAUCUGCCGUGGCCUUGAGCCCCCUGAAGAGUCGUUCAAGACCAGGACGUUGAUAGGUCGGGUGUGGAAGCGCAGUAAUGCGUUAAGCUAACCGAUACUAAUUGCUCGUGCGGCUUGACCC
RNAcentral lists this ribosomal RNA (1302 nucleotides) under metagenome. RNAcentral's name for it is "bacterial LSU rRNA". It matches the Rfam family "Bacterial large subunit ribosomal RNA", at positions 1634 to 2925 of the family's 2925-position model. The record is from RNAcentral.